GAUCAGGUUGAUAGGUCUGAGGUGGAAGUGUGGCGACACAUGGAGCUGACAGAUACUAAUCGAUCGAGGACUUAACCAAUUU
This 82-nucleotide ribosomal RNA is filed under the name Bacillus velezensis. RNAcentral's name for it is "partial 23S ribosomal RNA". Lineage: Bacteria; Bacillati; Bacillota; Bacilli; Caryophanales; Bacillaceae. The record is from RNAcentral.